GAGGAGCCUGCGUCCCAUCAGCUAGUUGGUAAGGUAAUGGCCUACCAAGGCGAUGACGGGUAGGGGACCUGAGAGGGUGGCCCCCCACAAUGGAACUGAAACACGGUCCAUACACCUACGGGUGGCAGCAGUAGGGAAUAUUAGAAAUGGACGAAAGUCUGAUCUAGCAACACCGCGUGUGCGAUGAAGGCCUUCGGGUUGUAAAGCACUUUUUGGAAGGAUUAGGAAGGAAUGUACUUCCAGAAUAAGUCUCGGCUAACUACGUGCCAGCAGCCGCGGUAACACGUAGGAGGCGAACGUUAUCCGGAUUUACUGGGCGUAAAGCGCGUGUAGGUGGUUCUGUAAGUAGGGCGUGAAAGCUCCUGGCUCAACUGGGAGAGGCCGUUCUAAACUGCAGAGCUAGAGGAUGGUAGAGGGAGGUGGAAUUCCGGGUGUAGCGGUGGAAUGCGCAGAUAUCCGGAGGAACACCAGUGGCGAAGGCGGCCUCCUGGACCAUUCCUGACACUCAGACGCGAAAGCUAGGGUAGCAAACGGGAUUAGAGACCCCGGUAGUCCUAGCCCUAAA
Molecule: ribosomal RNA, 565 nt
Filed under: uncultured bacterium
Lineage: Bacteria
Description: bacterial SSU rRNA
Rfam family: Bacterial small subunit ribosomal RNA
Source: RNAcentral